Molecule: long non-coding RNA, 361 nt
Organism: Pongo pygmaeus (Bornean orangutan)
Lineage: Eukaryota; Metazoa; Chordata; Mammalia; Primates; Hominidae
Exons: 3
Source: RefSeq, a predicted model, not a curated record
CUGGCUUCAAGAGAUCAUCCUGCCUCGGCCUACCAAAGUGCUGGGAUUACAGUGCUGCGGUGCAAAUCCUGAGCCCAUGUAUAGGAAUUACUCUUUCGGGAUAUUUAUCUGAAAGUGGAACUGUUGGCUCAGAAGGCCCCAGGGCAUGAACCUCUCCAGCUUUGCUAGAUAUUGCCAAAUUGCUCUCCCAGAUAAGGAAAUGGAAGAAGUGACUUGUCCAAAGUCCACGAAUGUAGGUGGCAGAUCCAGGACUGGCCCGCUGUGUGCUGAUUCUAAAUCCAGCAUGCUUUCCUUCACUUGGGGCCCUGGCGUUGAGAGCUGGAUCUGGGAAUCAGAUGAUCAUGGUUCAGCGUGGUCUUGA